Bombus huntii is the source of this 5063-nucleotide RNA transcript. It is a transcript of the gene named transcription factor collier, with no coding region annotated. The record is from RefSeq and is a predicted model, not a curated record. Lineage: Eukaryota; Metazoa; Arthropoda; Insecta; Hymenoptera; Apidae. The transcript has 14 exons.
CAUUCGACAAGCGGCGCCGUAACGGGAAGCAACGCGCGGCUGGGGACCUCGAAGGACCUCUCUUCUGGUCACGAGUCACCCUACCGACACUUUCGUGUCGACGAUAUACGCACCACGCUGCCGUCGCCCGCUACUCAGAUUACCGCUGCUCGCCGCGUAUCCAGGCUCGAUCUCUUCAUCCCAAGUGGAUCGUUCGAAGAUCUCGGAGGAGUCGCGCGUACACGCUGGGGACCUGGAUCGAGGAACUGACAACGGAGAAUCGAAGAUCCUCUUCGGAAACCGAUCUCUAUCAACUUAUCGUUUACCAAGUACGUGCCACGCGUAUAGUAAGUGACUAUGGAGAGUGACGAAGUUUAGUGAAGAUCGCGAAGAGUCAGAUAGUAACGAACAGAAGACUGUGAGACUUUCGUAAAGGAAGACGAGUGAGUAAAUAAAUAUACAGUGGUCAGUGAAACAAAAGGAAAGAACACUUUGCAGUGUCGAUCGAACUCGUGACAUAGAAUUAAAGGGACGCAUGUGCGCCGACACGCGGUCGGCUACCGAUUUAAUGGUGUGACAGGUUGGCUGUUUCUCAGAUAGGGACGGGCAUUGGUGAGAAAUCGCGAGGAAUCGAGGUCAAACGACUCGAUUGAUGCACUCUCGUGAAGAAUCGUGGCGGUGGAGAGGAGCGUUCUGACCGAGAGGUUACGGUCUCUCUCGAUCAGCCGCGAAGAAGGUUCUCGCGAAGGGUGGCAACGAGAAGGAGAAAGCCUGUUGCCCCAGGAGAGUCCGUACGGCCUCACGACGCGGUCCGACGAGUGGAGCGGUCUCCUGCCCAGCUCCACGAUCGUGGGUGCUGGGGGGUCGCCAUGGCUCGGACUCGGCGCAGGGGGUGGCACGGGAGCUACCACCGGAGGCGGAAGCCCCGUCGAACUCGAAGGCCACUGGGGACGUAAGCUGUACGGGGCGAGUGUAGCUCCACCACCGCCGCCGCCUCAUCACCACCCGCGGGCGCCUCUCGUUUUCGCGCCUCAGGACAUGAGGCAAAUACUCAAGGAGGAACCCGUGCCACGUGCUUGGCCACAGCCCGCGCUUGCCGACAACGGAACGGUUGGUGUCGGUAGAGCACACUUCGAGAAACAACCACCAAGCAAUUUGAGAAAAAGUAACUUCUUCCAUUUUGUGAUCGCUCUUUACGAUCGACACGGUCAACCGAUCGAAAUAGAGAGGACUUCUUUCAUGGGUUUCGUCGAAAAAGAUCAGGAAUCUGAAGGUCAGAAGACAAACAAUGGCAUUCAGUAUAGCCUGCAUCUGCUGUAUUCUAACGGUGUCAGGCAGGUGCAGGACAUCUACGUGAGGCUCAUCGACUCUGCAACGAAACAGGCUAUCAUGUAUGAGGGACAAGAUAAAAAUCCUGAAAUGUGUAGGGUUCUUCUUACUCACGAGGUGAUGUGCAGUCGAUGUUGCGAUAAGAAGAGCUGCGGAAACCGAAACGAAACACCAAGUGAUCCUGUUAUCAUCGAUCGAUUCUUCCUCAAGUUCUUCCUCAAGUGCAACCAGAACUGCCUUAAGAAUGCCGGCAAUCCACGUGAUAUGAGACGCUUCCAAGUGGUCAUUUCCACGCAAGUAGGAGUGGAGGGACCACUACUGGCCGUCUCGGACAACAUGUUCGUUCACAACAACAGCAAACACGGACGUAGAACGAAACGAUUGGAUCCCAGUGAUCCUGGUGAAUACAACAGUCUCUAUACGCCUGUACCUCUUCAAACGCCGUGCAUAAAAGCGAUAUCACCAAACGAAGGCUGGACAUCCGGUGGAUCCACGGUAAUAAUCAUUGGAGAGAACUUCUUCGACGGACUUCAAGUCGUUUUUGGGUCGAUGUUGGUUUGGAGUGAGCUAAUUACACCAAACGCAAUUAGAGUACAAACUCCACCACGACAGAUACCAGGCGUCGUUGAAGUUACGUUAUCCUACAAAACUAAACAAUUCUGUAAAGGAGCACCUGGUAGAUUUGUUUAUGUUUCGUUAAACGAACCCACGAUCGACUACGGCUUCCAAAGGUUACAGAAACUUAUCCCACGUCAUCCAGGAGAUCCUGAAAAAUUACCAAAAGAAAUCAUAUUAAAAAGGGCGGCAGAUCUUGCAGAAGCCUUAUACAGUAUGCCGAGAAGCGGGAACGCUGGAAUUACGGGAGCACCUAGAAGUCCAGGAUCGGGCCAUCCACCUGCACCACCAACAUCUAGUUCGGCAACAGCGUUCAACUCGUACACAGGACAACUUGCAGUGACAGUACAGGAAAACGGUAGCGCGGCGAAAUGGACAGACGACGGUAGUUCCGUGACGACAGGAGCCGGUGCUGCAGGCGGAGGUGGCGGUGGUGGUAGCGUCGGAGGAAGCGUCGGUGGCAGCGCCGAUGCCUAUAGACAAAGCAGUAGCGCGAGUCCACGUGGAGUCGUGACCGGUGGUGGUUAUUGCGGAAGUUCGGCUAGCACACCUCACAGUCACAGCACAAACGGAAGUUACUCGGUAGCCAAUCCGUACACUGGUAGCCCGACUCUUUAUACAUCGCCGCACGAACAGUAUGGCAUUUUCUAUACGUCCGGGGAUGGGAGUGCGUUCGCCCCCGUAGUACGACCACCGACCACCUCAGUCCCACCGCACUGGUCCACACAGCACCACCUCGCCACAGCCGCCCAGUAACCGCUAACCGUCCACCAUCACAACCACCAUCAUCACCAUCACAACCACCCUAUGCACUGCGAUUAAAGAAUUAUGAGAAACAUGCACGAGAGACGAGACUCGAGGAUGACUAGGAGAAGUGGUCAGUUCACCAUUCAACAUGAAUCCAUUUAUGUUGCCCACCUGCAGUCAAGGAUAUUCAAACGCCGCCAGUCCGUUGCUCUCGUCGAACGGCAAAUAGUGUUACGAGAUGUAAGCUCCGACGAAAAUAUCGAGGGGUUAUAUGUUCACGGAAGCGACAUCCAUCGAUGCGCAGGAUUUCAACGAAUUUGGAUAUUCUGAUAAUCAUCGUAUUCGCGAUUGACAAUCGCUUUCUUGAAUCGAAAUCGGUCCUCUCGAUUCACGCAUUUUAUCUUUUCUCCAGUUGCCGCGUAACGGAAGAAGAAAUCGUCGCAGAGAAGCAUCUGUGUAAUGAUUUUCGUCGGAGCUGAGCGAUGAAUUCAGUUUUAGUGUGAGAGUAUAUCGAAACCAGAGCAAACAAAAAUCGAUAACGUUUUAUCAUUAACGAUGAUCGAAUAAGUUAAGGAAUGAUACAUAUCGAAGCACAUAGGGGUGUUUUCUUCAUCUAUUGACAUAGUCGUUCGGUUCACAUGUAUAAUACAAUUUUUAGAGAAUGAAAUCGAUUACAUCCAUUUCAUUGUUAAGAAAUAUCUGAUAUAAUGUUUAACUAAUAAAUUAUUUCUUUUAUAUUUCUAAUUAUUUAUCGUAAAAUUGUAUUCUACAUACAAAUUGAUCUGAUAUUUAUUUGAACAGAAGGAACAGAAACUCAUCCAAAUUGCUAUUUAGUAAGUAAAACCAUGAUUAUUUAAACGAAUCAUAACGUGUUGUUCUAGUAAUCGAAUUUACAAUUAAUAAUGAUGGUUUGAAUAAUCGAUCGAUCCAUUUAUCGGUGUUUCGAGGAUCGAGGUUUCUAUUCUGUCACAGAAUGUAAAAUUAAAUGGCAAUUUGGAGGAUUCAUUAGCAUUUCUGAAAAGCAGCCGAAUGACUAUUCUCUUUUCGUGUCUCCGAUAUCGCUAUUUUUUAACUAGCUAUCUCGAUACGAAAAGAUCACUCUUAUCGAUAGAGUCGAGUACCUCCUUUGCCCUGCGUCUCCUCUCGUAUACGAAAUUAUUAAAAAACUUGCGACAAAGUAUUUUCAAGGUGUUUUUCUUCAACUUUGUAGUACGAUGUUUCUAACGAUAUAAACGCCUAGUUGUUCGAGAGUUACAGAAGAGGCAAUAGUAUACGCAGGCGGGGACGUUCACAGGGUGCUGAGCAAUUUUAUAUCAAAGCAAGCAAAGAGGCUAACGAGGGUCUAGGAAAUAAAAAUGACACCACUAGACGGACAUAUCGCUUAUCAGUGAAUAACAGACAUCAUAGUUUUAGAAAGCAUUUUCGAGUUUGAAAUUUUAUCUUCCUACCCGUACGUUUUAAGAGACUAACCAAUAUCGGCUAGGUAGCGUAACGUCUAACUUGUAAUUUGUAAAUUUCCUUGUAAAUAUUGUUGCGAUGUACAAAAAGAUAAAAACUAUUUCCAGGAAUCCAACGAAACGAUAUUAACGUGAUUGUAGGGCGAAAAUUAUUAUAUAUAGAUGUAAAUAAUCGUAGAGCGUCGUAGCUUUAUUCAUAUUGAUUAAUACGCUGGCGAUCCAAUCUUUUAACGGACAAAUCGACCGCGUGAUCGUAAUAAUAAAUAAAUAAAUACUCCCAGCUGUUUUCCAUUGAUAUUUCUACUAUCGGUAAAAAAAACUUGUUUCUUCCAACGUGUACAUUUAUACUGAUUCGUAUUCAUGAAGAAAGAAGAAAGAAAGAAACGAUGACUAGAAUGUCUGAAUGGAAAAUCACGGAUAACGAUAUGAAUUAGGACAAAACGUUAAAAAUUGGAUUCGUCCGUAGCAAUUGUAUAGAAACGUAUAGUUGAUUUGAAUCGUUCGAUAAGCCGGCCCAAAACUAAUUUCACAGAAAACGAAUCUCACGAAAGUAUACGAAGCAUGUACCGUUGCAGAAUUGAAAUCUCCAAUUAGUUCAGAUUUUGCAGCAGUUUACGAGCAUAAACCGUAUCGUUUGUUUCUGAAACGAAUGUCGUUAAAAGUUAUUAUUGUAAAAAGUUCCUUUUUGCAUAUCGACUUGGCAAGCUGACUUCCAUUGUGGAAGACGCGCUCUUUGUCCCGAAGCCACGCUCUGUGAUCUUGUGAUCUUGAUUAUAAUAAUAAUUAUCACUUUCGUUCGAUCACACAAUGUCAUCAUCUUUUACAUGGCGCGUCGUUCUUGUACGCAUGCGAACGCACAUGAGCAUGUAUACGCGCGUACAAACACUCGUCGAUGUAUAUUAAAAUAAAUUAAACUUACAUUUUUGAGAAUUAAAA